Molecule: long non-coding RNA, 4244 nt
Organism: Anguilla rostrata (American eel)
Lineage: Eukaryota; Metazoa; Chordata; Actinopteri; Anguilliformes; Anguillidae
Exons: 4
Source: RefSeq, a predicted model, not a curated record
UGGAAACGUGCUGCUCACGGUACGUGCAAGCAGCUGUGAGCUGGAUGUACUGUUCUGGCUUCUGCAUCCGGGACAGAGGGCUUGGUCAUCCGCUUCGCAUGGACGCAUUUGUGAGUUCCUGUGUACGCUACGGCUCUGACGAUCAGUCCACGAGAGAGGGAAACAAGGAUACAUUCAACAAGUGAAGAAGAACAAGUGAAUAUGGCACCACCCCCUAUGGCAGCAAGGACUAGGUCAAAGACAACGAAUCUUAACAGACACGAAUCUACCCAUCAAGAGCCCGUAUGUGAAAAUGGUAUCAAACGUGAAAGGUAAAGAGAGCAUGAGACAGAGCAUACAGGAGGAUGUUGACAUGAGGAGAAGGAGCAAGAAGUGACAUGGAGCUUUUCUCAGUUAUUCUCCUCUGCCACAGUUGUGGAGUUCUUCUCCCAUCUUACCAGACCUGACAGCGACAGUGAAUAAUUCACUGUGUCGCACCCAUGUGAAGGCGUAGCUGUAGUAUAUCCCUGUGCAUGUUUCAGCUCUUACAUGCAGAUGCACUUUACUCCAUUAAUCCUUUCUGCUUUGACAUCAGAGUGUUGUGGGUUCAGUGCCACUUGAGUUAUCCCAGAGAUCAGGGUAGGACAUUCUGUCACUAUCCAGGGUGAUUUUGCCCCCAUCAUUCAUUUUUGGGGGUGCUUUUGUAUUACAAUGGUGCUAAACUUUGAAUUCCAUGAAAAUUUAAUUGGCUGCCGUUUUUAUUAUCAGACAAUCAAAUACAUAAUACAUACAUGUUAAUUCUGAUACACUUGUUCUCCAACUCCAACCAUUUUUCCAACAUUUAUGCCUCUUGAUAAAGUUUUCUUUUCACUCAAUGGGACCCUCAGCCAAUUAGAUAAUGUAUGUAAUUUCACGUAUAGGAUUGAUGGAUCAGGUGCACAAAAUUAUAACAUUCAUACAUGAGAACAAAUUAAGGGAUGUUUUUCUGGCACAAAUGUUAGUAAAAAGAGCGGUUGUUUUUUUUGUGUAAUGUAUCUUGCAUUUGUCAGAAACUGCUGUUUUACCCUGGGCAAGGGUAACUUUAGAAGUCCCUUGGUGUUACUGUGUGACAGAACUUAGUUUAAAUUAUUUUACAUUACACUGUGACAAGUGAAGUCCCCACAGAAGGUAAAGAGGGAUCAUGUUGUUGUAGAGCUUUUAAUGCGAUUAAAAUAAAUCCUCUUAUUGCUGCUGCUGUGCUGUGGUGCUGCUGUAUGACUAGCGGCUGUAUCAUAGCAUACCAAAAUAUAGCCUCCAUUAGAUGGGAGGCAGGCAAACACCUUCUCUGAUUACCUGACAACACUGUGGAGCAGUAUGGUUUGGCAGUUGGCAACUGUACAGAAAUACAUUCUAUUAAAGUCAUGGCUUCAUUUUUGCAUCCUUUGGAAAUUUGUGAGUGAUUUGGAGAACAUUCUGUGUUCUAGUGACAGAUAAACUCUGAAUUAGUCUCAUGUCAAAUGCAUCAGUAUUCUGCCUGUGUUAUUGCUGUAUGUUGCCAAUUGUAGGUCUAUGCUUUUUCAAAUAUCAUAUUUAAUAUUGAUCACCUGCUAUCUAUUUAGAUGUGGUUAAUAACAGAGUUUGCAUUAGCAUGAUUGAGACCACUUAUUUUGUCUGGCAGAAUCGAUCAAUUCUGUUUCCCUGAUUUUGCCUUGUGUCAAUCGCUUGUGUCAUUGUUGUGGUCAUUGAGUGGUCAAUGCAUUUAGCUACAUAUGGGUUAAUCGUGUGUCACUUGUUGGCACCCGACUGGUGAGAUCUUUGAUUGAAUGCUGUGUUGUAUAAAACUGGUCCCAUAGGGCUUUCUGACAGUGCCCUACAUCCCAAGAGCAGAUCAUUAGCACCCUUUACCCAAAUAUCAGCAGAUCGGCAGUGGCCCUGCAUGCAGGGGACAGAUUGAUAUGGAGUGGCAUUGCUGACAGUAGCUAAGAAUAACUGACUCAUAGUGGUUCUGACUCUUCUAGCAGAUCUCUGAUAUCCCUUUUAAUUGUUUCCUGCACCGUGGGCGAAGGAAUGUGCCUUCACUCUUCUCACCGCCCACCAUUCACGGCUGGGGCAUUUUCUGUGAGUCAUCCAGUAGCUGACGGCUGAUGUGUGGAAGCAUCCCUGUGAAUCUGUGAAUGGCGUCUUAACUGGUCAGUGAAUGGAGGAGCUGCGGGUGACUGGGAAACGGCGGUGUGCCUGCAGUCUGUUAGCGUUUGCAGUGCAGAGUGUCUGUCCAGCGUGGCGGUUAGCCUGCUCCAGCGUGGUGUCUGUGCCCCCUUCGGGUGCAACGCUACACAGGGCCCCUUUGAGUCCUGUCCAGCACAACAGAAGGAGCUCUGUGAUCUCUUCUGAAAUGUGGUGCAGAGACAUUUUUGUGCUUGCAGCUGCUAUGGGACACACAGAGUGCUUUUUGACUUUGUUGUAACAUAAAAAAAAAAAAAGUGGUUUUAGCUGCGAUACAUACUUGGGUUUUCUGUUUGCCGUUUCACAAUAGGUUAUUUCACAGAAUGUGCCCUUGAUGUGCAUGCAUGUGUGCGUGUGUUUGUUGUGGUCAGAGAGAAACCACUUGGUGGUCAGUGUGAUGUGUGCUUGUAAAAAGUGGUGCACACACUCCUGUGCAGAAUGGGCUCCUGUUGAGAUGAUGACAUCAGUGGCAGCCUGUGAAUCACAGUGAAUAAGAAUCAGCAGCCAGUGAAUGAGAUAUCAUUAUUAUUACUUUCCUGCUAUCCCUGGCAGGCUUCUUAUCAGUGUAUAAUCUCCCACCCACUCUGUUUGUUCCUGGAGCAAUGAAGUCAUGCUGUUGCACAACCUUCCGCAGUUCUCACCAAGAAGGCCUCCAUUGUCGUCAAGACAUUUUACUAAUUAGGUAAAAGUAUUUAUAGGUUUGGGAUUAAUACUGUGAGGCUUCCACACGCACGCAGUCUGUGCUCAUUUAAAUUCAGCAUACGCCACCUGCGUGCAACUGCCCCAAGUCACCGGUUUAAAGGAAGGGCUUUAAGGAAUGGUGUUUUUUCCUGUAAUGUGCAGAUCUCCCACUGAUUUAUACAGAUUACUCCCGGUUUCACUCCUCAGUUUCAUCUGCAGUGGCUCCUGUCCUGCUUAGUACAGUAAUUGGGAUGGUUCAGUGCAGAUUUAAAAAUGAAUGAUUAAACAGUUGCUGGAUUGUUGCCAGACUUUGAAAUUAAUCACUCUCUCUCCCUCUCCCCUCUUGCUCUCUCUCUCUCUCUCUCUCUCAUAUAUAUAUAUAUAUAUAAGGAUGAAUGUAGGCAAGAAAGGUUGCAUGUUGGAAGGAAACACUCAAAGCUUUUACUGAAAUGUGUUUGUAUUGGCUGUUUGAACAAUCCAGAAUUUUGUGGAAUAUAAACAUGAUCCUUUUCUUUGUUUUGGAUUUGUACAACACCUGGAGACAUUACGUUGAUGUUCAAGCUGUUCGGAGUUACUUCACGGGGCAUUUUCUUGCUUUGGACCACAAACCCCCGAAUGCCCUUAAAUGCUUUGUGAAGUCAAGCAGGGCUUCAGAAACUCCUCUAAAUAUCUAAAAAUAUCCUUCAUCACAUCUGUGUUAAUCAAAAACCAACAUGUUUGACUGGGAAAAACAUGUAAAAGUCAGUCCGUUUCCAACAGUCCUAACCACAUUUAUGUCAUAAGAACUGACCUACAGUGAGCUCAGGGGUUAGUACAAUUUGGAUUUAAAGAACUUUGUUCUAAAAUUCAAGUAGGCCUUUUCUUACUCCAGUCAUAUGUGUGAAUGUGCACAAAUUCACAAGACCAUGUUUACUGCAGUUUCACCAUGGUUGUAGCAAUCAGAAUUGUGCACGAAGGACAUCUCAAAAAGCAGCCCAUGUAUACUUUAGUGAUUGCAGUGCCAGUGAAUUGUGAAAUUAUGUCAUUGGAAUGGCAGGGAUGUGUGGCUAAUUUUCCUAGUAAGAGAUAUGGUCUUCUCUUCAUAGCGUAAUCCAUUUCCCAUCGAUGUAGUCAUGCUGUAAAACCAGAUGUGUAUUUUGUUUGAAUGCUUCAGUGCCAGAGAACUCUCACUGAUGCGGGGGCAUAUUUCAGCCAUCAAUGGCCGUCUCAAACGCACAGAGACUCUGAGUGUCCUUUCCUUCUGGGAAAGGCCAGCCCUGGUUGUAGGCGAGAGGGGGGGUGAAGGGGGGGACGGGUGUGGGUUUGUGAUGUUUAAGGCUCUGUCACUGUGGGUCUGCUGGCUUGAGAGCAAAGAGCCAAUUCACGCGCUGCGCAGCCCUAGU